Molecule: ribosomal RNA, 468 nt
Filed under: uncultured bacterium
Lineage: Bacteria
Description: partial 16S ribosomal RNA
Rfam family: Bacterial small subunit ribosomal RNA
Source: RNAcentral
GACGAACGCUGGCGGCGUGCUUAACACAUGCAAGUCGAACGGAAAGGCCCUGCUUUUGUGGGGUGCUCGAGUGGCGAACGGGUGAGUAACACGUGAGUAACCUGCCCUUGACUUUGGGAUAACUUCAGGAAACUGGGGCUAAUACCGGAUAGGAGCUCCUGCUGCAUGGUGGGGGCUGGAAAGUUUCGGCGGUUGGGGAUGGACUCGCGGCUUAUCAGCUUGUUGGUGGGGUAGUGGCUUACCAAGGCUUUGACGGGUAGCCGGCCUGAGCGGGUGACCGGCCACAUUGGGACUGAGAUACGGCCCAGACUCCUACGGGAGGCAGAAGUGGGGAAUAUUGCACAAUGGGCGGAAGCCUGAUGCAGCAACGCCGCGUGCGGGAUGACGGCCUUCGGGUUGUAAACCGCUUUCGCCUGUGACGAAGCGUGAGUGACGGUAAUGGGUAAAGAAGCACCGGCUAACUACGUG